Molecule: small nucleolar RNA, 134 nt
Filed under: Procavia capensis (Cape rock hyrax)
Lineage: Eukaryota; Metazoa; Chordata; Mammalia; Hyracoidea; Procaviidae
Description: Small nucleolar RNA SNORA31 (ENSPCAG00000020493.1)
Source: RNAcentral
AUGACUCCAUUGACAGACCUGGAACAGUUACUGUCUGCUUGUAAAGCUUCCGCUAGGUACACAAGAAACAUCUCCUUCCUCUUUACACUUUCUGUUUGAUGGUGGCAGCCAAGACUGAGCUGGGGAAUACACAA